This 76-nucleotide transfer RNA is filed under the name Deltaproteobacteria bacterium. RNAcentral's name for it is "tRNA-Val". It matches the Rfam family "tRNA". From Rfam's summary of the family: Transfer RNA (tRNA) molecules are approximately 80 nucleotides in length. Their secondary structure includes four short double-helical elements and three loops (D, anti-codon, and T loops). Further hydrogen bonds mediate the characteristic L-shaped molecular structure. tRNAs have two regions of fundamental functional importance: the anti-codon, which is responsible for specific mRNA codon recognition, and the 3' end, to which the tRNAs corresponding amino acid is attached (by aminoacyl-tRNA synthetases). tRNAs cope with the degeneracy of the genetic code in two manners: having more than one tRNA (with a specific anti-codon) for a particular amino acid; and 'wobble' base-pairing, i.e. permitting non-standard base-pairing at the 3rd anti-codon position. The record is from RNAcentral. Lineage: Bacteria; Pseudomonadati; Myxococcota; Myxococcia.
GGGCUAGUGGUCUAGGGGUUAUGACGUUGCCCUUACGAGGCAAAGGUCGCCGGUUCGAUUCCGGCCUAGCCCAUCA